Molecule: long non-coding RNA, 313 nt
Organism: Myotis myotis
Lineage: Eukaryota; Metazoa; Chordata; Mammalia; Chiroptera; Vespertilionidae
Exons: 3
Source: RefSeq, a predicted model, not a curated record
AAGAGGCAGGAUCCCAUUGUGGGUGAGACUCCGGCUCAGGAUUCAGACUGACUGGGUUUGAAUCUUAGCUCUCUUUUACAGCCCAGGAUAGUUCAUACAUCUUAUUUCUGGGGCAGAAUGGAGAAGUAUAAGCAAGGGAAUCAAUACUAAGAGCUGAACAUCCAGAACUGGGUCUUCUAGGAGACCUGACUUGACAUCUUAUUCUGUGUGAGUGGAAGUGGUGAAGAAUGUGAAAGAAAGUCUUGGUUUGAAUAUUUUCCAAAGGUAGAAUUUAUGAGGCUACUUCUAACAGCACACCGUUCGCUUUUCCUGG